This 165-nucleotide ribosomal RNA is filed under the name uncultured eukaryote. RNAcentral's name for it is "partial 18S ribosomal RNA". It matches the Rfam family "Eukaryotic small subunit ribosomal RNA", at positions 1299 to 1458 of the family's 1831-position model. The record is from RNAcentral.
UCGUGGAGUGAUUUGUCUGGUCUAUUCCGAUAACGAGCGAGACCCCGACGUUCCUACUAGGGGUGGCAGCCCGGCUCGUGCCCUCGGGUGCUUGCUAGCAGCCACCUUACAAUAGCUUCUUAGACGGAUCAGAGCCGAUAAGGUUCUUGAAAUGGGUUAAUAACA